AGUGGAGGAGGAGGAACGAGCAGCCUGAAAGCAGCCCUUCUGGGCUGCUCCUUCCUCCUCCUCCGUC
This is a non-coding RNA of Podarcis lilfordi (Lilford's wall lizard), 67 nucleotides long. NCBI's taxonomy places the organism in Eukaryota, Metazoa, Chordata, Lepidosauria, Squamata, Lacertidae. The record is from the annotation of a GenBank genome assembly.